GCUAAGCCCUAAACAUUGAUAGUAAUUAAUACAAUACUUUCCGCCAGAGAACUACAAGUGAAAAACUUGAAACUCAAAGGACUUGACGGUGUCCCAUAUCGGCCUAGAGGAGCCUGUCCUAUAAUCGAUACCCCCCGUUCCACCCAACCCCAACUAGCAAAAUAUCAGCCUAUAUACCGCCGUCGACAGUCUACCCCAUGAGGGCUCAAUAGUAGACACAAUAGCCUUAACGCUAAUACGUCAGGUCAAGGUGUAGCAAAUGUUGAGGAAAAGAUUGGCUACAUUUUUUAUGAUAAAAAACACGAAUUGCACUAUGAAACACUGCAUGAAGGUGAAUUUAGUAGUAAAACAGACAAGAGUGUCUGUUUUAACAACGCUCUGGGACGCGU
This 389-nucleotide ribosomal RNA is filed under the name Podarcis tiliguerta. RNAcentral describes it as "partial 12S ribosomal RNA". It matches the Rfam family "Bacterial small subunit ribosomal RNA", at positions 794 to 1384 of the family's 1533-position model. Lineage: Eukaryota; Metazoa; Chordata; Lepidosauria; Squamata; Lacertidae. The record is from RNAcentral.